GGCGAACGCUGGCGGCGUGCCUAAUACAUGCAAGUAGAACGCUGAAGGAGGAGCUUGCUUCUCCGGAUGAGUUGCGAACGGGUGAGUAACGCGUAGGUAACCUGCCUGGUAGCGGGGGAUAACUAUUGGAAACGAUAGCUAAUACCGCAUAAGAGUAGAUGUCGCAUGACAUUUGCUUAAAAGGUGCAACUGCACCACUACCAGAUGGACCUGCGUUGUAUUAGCUAGUUGGUGAGGUAACGGCUCACCAAGGCAACGAUACAUAGCCGACCUGAGAGGGUGAUCGGCCACACUGGGACUGAGACACGGCCCAGACCCCUACGGGAGGCAGCAGUAGGGAAUCUUCGGCAAUGGACGGAAGUCUGACCGAGCAACGCCGCGUGAGUGAAGAAGGUUUUCGGAUCGUAAAGCUCUGUUGUAAGAGAAGAACGAGUGUGAGAGUGGAAAGUUCACACUGUGACGGUAUCUUACCAGAAAGGGACGGCUAACUACGUG
RNAcentral lists this ribosomal RNA (495 nucleotides) under uncultured bacterium. RNAcentral describes it as "partial 16S ribosomal RNA". It matches the Rfam family "Bacterial small subunit ribosomal RNA", at positions 28 to 507 of the family's 1533-position model. The record is from RNAcentral.